This 253-nucleotide ribosomal RNA is filed under the name uncultured prokaryote. RNAcentral's name for it is "partial 16S ribosomal RNA". It matches the Rfam family "Bacterial small subunit ribosomal RNA", at positions 524 to 776 of the family's 1533-position model. The record is from RNAcentral.
UACAGAGGGGGCUAGCGUUGUUCGGAAUUACUGGGCGUAAAGGGCGCGUAGGUGGCCUGUUAAGUCGAACGUGAAAUCCCCGGGCUCAACCCGGGAACUGCGUCCGAGACUGGCAGGCUCGAAUCCGGGAGAGGGAUGUGGAAUUUCCGGUGUAGCGGUGAAGUGCGUAGAUAUCGGAAGGAACAUCAGUGGCGAAAGCGACUUCCUGGACCAAUACUGACGCUCAUGUGCGAAAGCGUGGGGAGCAAACAGG